GCUGAAUUCUCACUGAAGCAUUUCUUGGUGUGAUUCAGCACAGAAAUUAAGUGCAGGGAGAUAGGUUCGUGAAAGGAGAAGCGGCAGGCUAGAAGAAGCUACUCGUGGGUUUCUUCAAGAGUGUUUCCUGAGACAAAAACGUGAUAAGAACCUAAUUAAAGGUCCUGAAUCUGCAUGCCUAGUUUCUGCCAUAAAGUUCAGAUAUCUACACCAGACACUGCUGGUGUCACUGUAGUCCAAAGUUUCAUCAGGCAGAGGCAUUCCGGUUACCACAGUGAACUAAAGUGGUGCCAUAGACCCUCAUGAGGCCAAGGACAACAGCACCUACCUCUGUAGUCCUUUCUCACUGCACGGAAAAGUAUUUCUGACAAUUCACUGCAGUGACUUUUCCAGAUGGUUACAGAACUUGCAUGUGACCACCGGGGAAAGGAAGAGAUACCACAAGCCAGCCUGAACCCUUCCUACACUCCUCUACAGAAGCUACAGGUCAAAAAGUCCAUGGAGUACCACCCACAAGGCAGCAGGAGUUCAUUCAAGUAA
RNAcentral lists this long non-coding RNA (540 nucleotides) under Anser brachyrhynchus (Pink-footed goose). RNAcentral describes it as "lncRNA (ENSABRG00000007863.1)". Lineage: Eukaryota; Metazoa; Chordata; Aves; Anseriformes; Anatidae. The record is from RNAcentral.